GAAGCUCAUGGCUGUCGAUCAAUACAUGAACAGGCUUCUUGCCUACUACUCCUCUCGUACCGGGGCUCCAAGCUAACAUUAGCCGAGAAUGCAGAGGGAGCUGCUCUUACAUCAGACUUUCAGAGGGUGCAGAGAGCAGUGUUUAGUCACCAAAGAAAGGAAAAGAGACAAUGUAAAAAGUUUCUUUUGUUUUGCAUUUAUUGUUCUGAAGAUGUUCACAAACUCUACUUUCAUUAAAAGUUGCUUGAUGUGUACGAUUA
Molecule: long non-coding RNA, 260 nt
Organism: Thunnus maccoyii (southern bluefin tuna)
Lineage: Eukaryota; Metazoa; Chordata; Actinopteri; Scombriformes; Scombridae
Exons: 2
Source: RefSeq, a predicted model, not a curated record